This 471-nucleotide ribosomal RNA is filed under the name uncultured bacterium. RNAcentral's name for it is "bacterial SSU rRNA". It matches the Rfam family "Bacterial small subunit ribosomal RNA", at positions 28 to 507 of the family's 1533-position model. The record is from RNAcentral.
GACGAACGCUGGCGGCGUGCCUAACACAUGCAAGUCGAGCGGGGAGGAGGAAGCUUGCUUCCGAAUCCUAGCGGCGGACGGGUGAGUAACGCGUGAGCAACCUGCCUCAAACAGGGGGAUAACGCAUCGAAAGAUGUGCUAAUACCGCGUAAGACCACAGCACCGCAUGGUGCAGGGGUCAAAGGAGCGAUCCAGUUUGAGAUGGGCUCGCGUCCGAUUAGCUAGUUGGUGAGAUAACAGCCCACCAAGGCAACGAUCGGUAGCCGACCUGAGAGGGUGAUCGGCCACAUUGGAACUGAGAAACGGUCCAGACUCCUACGGGAGGCAGCAGUGGGGAAUAUUGGGCAAUGGGCGAAAGCCUGACCCAGCAACGCCGCGUGAGGGAAGAAGGGUUUCGGCUCGGUAAACUCCUGUCCUCAGGGAAGAGCAGAAGACGGUACCUGAGGAGGAAGCCCCCGGGCUAACUACGUG